UUUUGUCUUUAUAAGAGAGAAAUUAGAGCACCACUCUACUCUGGUAUUGCACUGUCAGAGAUCAAAUCUGGGACUUUACACAUGCAAGCUCUGUGGUCUCCUGAAUGCAGAUUGAGAAAAGUAUCUUACUUACUGUAAGAUACUUGAGAAAGUACCUGGUAUGGGGUAAUAGAAAGAACUGCUUACCUUGGAACCUGACACCUGGAGCAUCACUUGUCAAGAGUCCCAGGGCCUUGUAUCUUACAGUGACUGGGAAUUUGGCCAGGACCACUUCCUGUUAGAGAGCCUUGGAGUGUGGACAGCCCACCAUAGAGAAGUGGAGCAUCUUCCAGAAACCAGGGACAUGUGACUAGUUACACCAAAUCCACAGAUCUGCCUCAGCCAUUAGACUGAACUACUAGGUUUCAUUCAGGGUGCAGGGGGAAGGGUACUGCUUUCCCUAAGCUGCCCUUCAACAUUCCCUCGCUAUCUUCAGUGAAGUCAAGGUAGGUUUGUUCACUUUGCCACAGAUUGUUUUGGUGCAUUCAUUUCUUGUUCCAGCUUUUAGCAAUAACCU
Long non-coding RNA from Erinaceus europaeus (western European hedgehog), 556 nucleotides. RefSeq lists it as uncharacterized. The transcript has 3 exons. NCBI's taxonomy places the organism in Eukaryota, Metazoa, Chordata, Mammalia, Eulipotyphla, Erinaceidae. The record is from RefSeq and is a predicted model, not a curated record.